Molecule: transfer RNA, 60 nt
Filed under: Mesechinus dauuricus (Daurian hedgehog)
Lineage: Eukaryota; Metazoa; Chordata; Mammalia; Eulipotyphla; Erinaceidae
Also listed under: 1 other name
Description: tRNA-Ser
Source: RNAcentral
GAGAAAGACUAUAAGAACUGCUAAUUCUUAGCACCACACAUAGCAUAUGUGGCUUUUUCA